Molecule: ribosomal RNA, 664 nt
Filed under: uncultured Vibrionaceae bacterium
Lineage: Bacteria; Pseudomonadati; Pseudomonadota; Gammaproteobacteria; Vibrionales; Vibrionaceae
Description: bacterial SSU rRNA
Rfam family: Bacterial small subunit ribosomal RNA
Source: RNAcentral
AUUGAACGCUGGCGGCAGGCCUAACACAUGCAAGUCGAGCGGAAACGACACUAACAAUCCUUCGGGUGCGUUAAUGGGCGUCGAGCGGCGGACGGGUGAGUAAUGCCUAGGAAAUUGCCUUGAUGUGGGGGAUAACCAUUGGAAACGAUGGCUAAUACCGCAUAAUGCCUACGGGCCAAAGAGGGGGAUCUUCGGACCUCUCGCGUCAAGAUAUGCCUAGGUGGGAUUAGCUAGUUGGUGAGGUAAUGGCUCACCAAGGCGACGAUCCCUAGCUGGUCUGAGAGGAUGAUCAGCCACACUGGAACUGAGACACGGUCCAGACUCCUACGGGAGGCAGCAGUGGGGAAUAUUGCACAAUGGGCGAAAGCCUGAUGCAGCCAUGCCGCGUGUAUGAAGAAGGCCUUCGGGUUGUAAAGUACUUUCAGUUGUGAGGAAGCGGGUGUAGUUAAUAGCUGCAUCUCUUGACGUUAGCAACAGAAGAAGCACCGGCUAACUCCGUGCCAGCAGCCGCGGUAAUACGGAGGGUGCGAGCGUUAAUCGGAAUUACUGGGCGUAAAGCGCAUGCAGGUGGUUCAUUAAGUCAGAUGUGAAAGCCCGGGGCUCAACCUCGGAACUGCAUUUGAAACUGGUGAACUAGAGUGCUGUAGAGGGGGGUAGAAUUUCA